RNAcentral lists this ribosomal RNA (3468 nucleotides) under Triticum aestivum (bread wheat). RNAcentral describes it as "partial small subunit ribosomal RNA". Lineage: Eukaryota; Viridiplantae; Streptophyta; Magnoliopsida; Poales; Poaceae. The record is from RNAcentral.
AUGUCAGUGUCAAAUGGGAAGUGGAUUGAUGGGCUCCAGUUCUCAUCACUGUUCUGGCCCCCGCCACACGAUGUGCAGCAGAAACAGGCACAAAUUUUAGCCUAUGUUGAGUACUUUGGUCAGUUCACAUCUGAUAGCGAGCAAUUCCCGGAGGAUGUAGCUCAGCUAAUUCAAAGUUGCUAUCCAUCAAAAGAAAAGCGGUUGGUAGAUGAAGUAUUAGCAACUUUUGUUCUCCAUCACCCUGAGCAUGGUCAUGCAGUUGUACAUCCAAUUCUUUCACGCAUCAUAGAUGGGACACUGAGUUAUGAUAGUCAUGGUUCCCCAUUCAAUUCCUUCAUCUCUUUAUUUACCCAAAGUUCUGAGAAAGAGUACUCAGAGCAGUGGGCCUUGGCCUGUGGAGAAAUUCUUAGAGUUCUAACUCACUACAACAGGCCAAUCUUUAAAGUUGCAGACUGUAACAACACAUCUGACCAGGCCACAGCAAGUUGUUCUGCACAGGAGAAAGCUAAUUUCUCUCCAGGAAAUGAGCCUGAACGGAAGCCAUUGAGGCCAUUAUCUCCUUGGAUCACAGAUAUUUUGCUAACUGCACCUUUGGGCAUUAGAAGCGACUAUUUUAGAUGGUGUGGUGGAGUUAUGGGAAAAUACGCAGCUGGUGGAGAAUUGAAGCCUCCAACAACUGCUUACAGCCGUGGAGCUGGUAAGCACCCACAACUCAUGCCAUCCACCCCAAGAUGGGCUGUUGCCAAUGGAGCUGGAGUUAUUUUAAGUGUCUGUGAUGAGGAAGUAGCUCGUUAUGAGACAGCAAACUUAACCGCGGCAGCUGUCCCCGCCCUUCUGCUACCUCCACCGACAACACCCUUGGAUGAGCAUUUGGUGGCAGGGCUACCCCCUCUCGAACCAUACGCUCGCUUGUUUCAUAGAUACUACGCAAUUGCCACACCAAGUGCUACGCAAAGAUUGCUUUUUGGUCUUCUUGAAGCACCACCGUCAUGGGCUCCAGAUGCACUUGAUGCAGCAGUUCAGCUUGUUGAACUCCUUCGGGCAGCUGAAGAUUAUGCUACUGGCAUGCGGCUUCCAAAAAAUUGGUUGCAUCUUCAUUUCUUGCGUGCGAUUGGAACUGCAAUGUCUAUGAGGGCUGGUAUUGCUGCUGAUACAGCUGCUGCGUUGCUUUUUCGCAUACUAUCCCAACCAACGUUGCUUUUUCCUCCACUAAGGCAUGCUGAAGGAGUUGAAGUGCAACAUGAACCACUGGGUGGCUAUGUAUCAUCAUACAAAAGACAGCUGGAAGUUCCUGCAUCUGAAACCACAAUUGAUGCCACUGCACAAGGCAUUGCUUCCUUGCUGUGUGCUCAUGGUCCUGAUGUUGAGUGGAGAAUAUGUACCAUCUGGGAAGCUGCCUAUGGUUUGUUACCUCUGAAUUCAUCAGCAGUUGAUUUACCUGAAAUCGUUGUAGCUGCUCCGCUUCAGCCACCUACUUUGUCAUGGAGCCUAUACUUGCCACUGUUGAAAGUAUUUGAGUAUCUACCUCGUGGAAGUCCAUCUGAAGCAUGCCUUAUGAGAAUAUUUGUGGCAACAGUUGAAGCUAUACUCAGAAGAACUUUCCCUUCGGAAACCUCUGAAUCAUCUAAAAGACCAAGAAGUCAAUCCAAGAACCUUGCUGUUGCUGAACUCCGUACGAUGAUACAUUCACUCUUUGUUGAAUCAUGUGCUUCAAUGAACCUUGCUUCCCGGUUGUUGUUUGUAGUAUUAACUGUUUGCGUUAGUCAUCAAGCUUUGCCAGGGGGCAGCAAAAGACCAACUGGUAGUGAAAACCAUUCUUCUGAGGAGGCCACUGAGGACCCAAGAUUAACCAAUGGAAGAAAUAGGGUCAAGAAGAAACAAGGGCCUGUUGGUACAUUUGACUCGUAUGUGCUGGCCGCUGUUUGUGCCUUAUCUUGUGAGCUUCAGCUGUUCCCUAUCCUUUGCAAGAGCGCAACAAACUCAAAUGUAAAGGACUCUAUAAAGAUCCUGAAGCCUGGAAAAAACAAUGGGAUCAGUAAUGAGCUACAGAACAGCAUUAGCUCAGCAAUUCUCCAUACUCGUAGAAUUCUUGGCAUCCUGGAAGCUCUUUUCUCCUUGAAGCCAUCAUCAGUUGGUACCUCCUGGAACUACAGUUCAAAUGAGAUAGUUGCAGCGGCUAUGGUUGCCGCUCAUGUUUCUGAGUUAUUUCGUCGGUCGAGGCCAUGCCUAAAUGCACUAUCUUCACUGAAGCGAUGUAAGUGGGAUGCUGAGAUUUCUACCAGGGCAUCAUCUCUCUACCAUUUGAUCGACUUGCAUGGUAAAACUGUGUCCUCCAUCGUGAACAAAGCUGAGCCUCUAGAAGCUCACCUGACUUUUACAUCGGUAAAGAGAGAUGAUCAACAACACAUUGAGGAAAACGGCACCAGCUCAUCGGGUAGUGGCAACUUGGAAAAGAAGAAUGCUUCAGCCUCACACAUGAAAAAUGGUUUUUCAAGACCACUCUUGAAAUGCUCAGAAGAGGCUAGGCGAAAUGGUAAUGUUGCAAGUACAUCCGGGAAAGUUCCUGCAACUUUACAGGCUGAAGCAUCUGAUUUGGCGAACUUCCUUACCAUGGAUAGGAAUGGGGGUUAUCGAGGCUCUCAGACUCUCCUAAGAUCUGUUAUCUCAGAAAAACAGGAACUAUGCUUCUCUGUUGUCUCAUUGCUCUGGCAUAAGCUUAUUGCAUCUCCUGAAACGCAGAUGUCUGCAGAAAGUACAUCAGCUCAUCAAGGUUGGAGAAAGGUUGUAGAUGCACUUUGUGAUGUUGUUUCAGCCUCACCAGCCAAGGCUUCAACUGCUAUUGUUCUGCAGGCUGAGAAGGACCUACAGCCCUGGAUUGCUCGAGAUGACGAGGAAGGUCAGAAGAUGUGGAGAGUCAACCAGCGAAUAGUUAAACUGAUAGCUGAGCUUAUGAGGAACCAUGAUAGCCCAGAAGCAUUGAUAAUUCUUGCUAGUGCUUCAGACCUUCUACUUCGUGCUACAGAUGGGAUGCUUGUUGAUGGUGAAGCUUGUACCUUGCCUCAGUUAGAGCUCCUGGAAGUAACUGCUAGAGCUAUUCAUCUCAUCGUUGAAUGGGGAGACCCAGGUGUAGCAGUUGCUGAUGGCCUCUCAAAUCUGUUAAAGUGCCGUCUAUCACCUACCAUCCGCUGCCUCUCCCACGCUAGCGCACAUGUACGAGCGCUCAGCAUGUCCGUCCUCCGUGACAUCUUGAACAGUGGGCCACUAGGUUCCACUAAGAUCAUUCAAGGCGAGCAACGGAACGGCAUCCAAAGCCCGAACUACCAAUGCGCAGCAGCAAACACGGUGAACUGGCAAGCGGAUGUGGAGAGAUGUAUAGACUGGGAAGCCCGCAGCCGGCGCGCCACCGGGAUGACCCUCGCCUUCCUCACCGCUGCGGCUAACGAGCUCGGCUGCACCCUUCCUUGCUGA